GGGUUGUGAGGUUAAGCGACUAAGCGUACACGGUGGAUGCCCUGGCAGUCAGAGGCGAUGAAGGGCGUGCUAAUCUGCGAUAAGCGCCGGUAAGGUGAUAUGAACCGUUAUAACCGGCGAUACCCGAAUGGGGAAACCCAGUGUGAUUCGUCACACUAUCAUUACGUGAAUACAUAGCGUAAUGAAGCGAACCGGGGGAACUGAAACAUCUAAGUACCCCGAGGAAAAGAAAUCAACCGAGAUUCCCCCAGUAGCGGCGAGCGAACGGGGAGGAGCCCAGAGCCUGAAUCAGCAUGUGUGUUAGUGGAAGCGUCUGGAAAGGCGCGCGAUACAGGGUGACAGCCCC
RNAcentral lists this ribosomal RNA (346 nucleotides) under Salmonella enterica. RNAcentral describes it as "bacterial LSU rRNA". It matches the Rfam family "Bacterial large subunit ribosomal RNA", at positions 1 to 374 of the family's 2925-position model. Lineage: Bacteria; Pseudomonadati; Pseudomonadota; Gammaproteobacteria; Enterobacterales; Enterobacteriaceae. The record is from RNAcentral.